RNAcentral lists this transfer RNA (72 nucleotides) under Crassvirales sp. RNAcentral's name for it is "tRNA-Asn". It matches the Rfam family "tRNA". Rfam says of the family: Transfer RNA (tRNA) molecules are approximately 80 nucleotides in length. Their secondary structure includes four short double-helical elements and three loops (D, anti-codon, and T loops). Further hydrogen bonds mediate the characteristic L-shaped molecular structure. tRNAs have two regions of fundamental functional importance: the anti-codon, which is responsible for specific mRNA codon recognition, and the 3' end, to which the tRNAs corresponding amino acid is attached (by aminoacyl-tRNA synthetases). tRNAs cope with the degeneracy of the genetic code in two manners: having more than one tRNA (with a specific anti-codon) for a particular amino acid; and 'wobble' base-pairing, i.e. permitting non-standard base-pairing at the 3rd anti-codon position. Lineage: Duplodnaviria; Heunggongvirae; Uroviricota; Caudoviricetes; Crassvirales. The record is from RNAcentral.
GGCCAUGUAGCUUAAAGGUAGAGCAAUUGACUGUUAAUCAAUAGGUUGGGAUAUCGUAACUCCCCAUGGCCG